AGUCGAGCGGAUGAGAAGAGCUUGCUCUUCGAUUCAGCGGCGGACGGGUGAGUAAUGCCUAGGAAUCUGCCUGGUAGUGGGGGACAACGUUUCGAAAGGAACGCUAAUACCGCAUACGUCCUACGGGAGAAAGCAGGGGACCUUCGGGCCUUGCGCUAUCAGAUGAGCCUAGGUCGGAUUAGCUAGUUGGUGAGGUAAUGGCUCACCAAGGCGACGAUCCGUAACUGGUCUGAGAGGAUGAUCAGUCACACUGGAACUGAGACACGGUCCAGACUCCUACGGGAGGCAGCAGUGGGGAAUAUUGGACAAUGGGCGAAAGCCUGAUCCAGCCAUGCCGCGUGUGUGAAGAAGGUCUUCGGAUUGUAAAGCACUUUAAGUUGGGAGGAAGGGUUGUUUCCUAAUACGAAGCAAUUUUGACGUUACCGACAGAAUAAGCACCGGCUAACUCUGUGCCAGCAGCCGCGGUAAUACAGAGGGUGCAAGCGUUAAUCGGAAUCACUGGGCGUAAAGCGCGCGUAGGUGGUUUGUUAAGUUGAAUGUGAAAUCCCCGGGCUCAACCUGGGAACUGCAUCCAAAACUGGCAAGCUAGAGUAGGGCAGAGGGUGGUGGAAUUUCCUGUGUAGCGGUGAAAUGCGUAGAUAUAGGAAGGAACACCAGUGGCGAAGGCGACCACCUGGGCUCAUACUGACACUGAGGUGCGAAAGCGUGGGGAGCAAACAGGAUUAGAUACCCUGGUAGUCCACGCCGUAAACGAUGUCAACUAGCCGUUGGGAGUCUUGAACUCUUAGUGGCGCAGCUAACGCAUUAAGUUGACCGCCUGGGGAGUACGGCCGCAAGGUUAAAACUCAAAUGAAUUGAC
RNAcentral lists this ribosomal RNA (859 nucleotides) under uncultured bacterium. RNAcentral describes it as "bacterial SSU rRNA". It matches the Rfam family "Bacterial small subunit ribosomal RNA", at positions 60 to 914 of the family's 1533-position model. The record is from RNAcentral.